AUGGCUGACUAAUCAACUCAUGACUCUUUAGUGUAAAUAAGUUUCAGUCGAUGUAUUACCCAACCCAAACAUCUCCGUCUUAAAAACUUAAUCUCUGCUCAAUGGUAAGUUUUGUCUAUCCAUCGAGGGAUUCAGGCAGCAGCAAGAAAUUGAGGAAAAAAAUCUCCAAAGAUACAUAAGGUAGAAAGGAAUUCAUCUUAUUAAAAGGUAAGGAUGCUGAGUCUUGGUAAAAUUUAAUUUAAUUUACAAUU
RNAcentral lists this long non-coding RNA (251 nucleotides) under Canis lupus familiaris (dog). Its description in RNAcentral is "lncRNA (ENSCAFG00000051001.1, ENSCAFG00805000018.1, ENSCAFG00845000006.1)". The record is from RNAcentral. Lineage: Eukaryota; Metazoa; Chordata; Mammalia; Carnivora; Canidae.